GUGGCAGAGUGGUCGAAUGCACCGCACUCGAAAUGCGGCAUACCUGCAAGGGUAUCGUGGGUUCGAGUCCAAGGAAGAGUCAGCUGCCAGCA
RNAcentral lists this transfer RNA (92 nucleotides) under Agrobacterium salinitolerans. Its description in RNAcentral is "tRNA-Ser". Lineage: Bacteria; Pseudomonadati; Pseudomonadota; Alphaproteobacteria; Hyphomicrobiales; Rhizobiaceae. The record is from RNAcentral.